AUUGAACGCUGGCGGCAGGCCUAACACAUGCAAGUCGAACGAGUGGCGGACGGGUGAGUAAUGUAUGGGAAACUGCCUGAUGGAGGGGGAUAACUACUGGAAACGGUAGCUAAUACCGCAUACCAUCGGAUGUGCCCAGAUGGGAUUAGCUAGUAGGUGGGGUAAAGGCUCACCUAGGCGACGAUCCCUAGCUGGUAUGAGAGGAUGACCACACACACUGGAACUGGGACACGGUCCAGACUCCUACGGGAGGCAGCAGUGGGGAAUAUUGCACAAGGGGCGCAAGCCUGAUGCAGCCAUGCCGCGGGUAUGAGGAAGGCCUUCGGGUUGUAAAGUACUUUCAGCGGGGAGGCGUUACCCGCAGAAGAAGCAACGGCUAACUCCGUGCCAGCAGCCGCUGUAAUAC
RNAcentral lists this ribosomal RNA (406 nucleotides) under uncultured bacterium. RNAcentral's name for it is "partial 16S ribosomal RNA". It matches the Rfam family "Bacterial small subunit ribosomal RNA", at positions 30 to 526 of the family's 1533-position model. The record is from RNAcentral.